CACACAGCGAUAUAAUAUAAAAUUAUACAUCGGCUCCGUAUGUUAAACAGCAAUGUCAGAAAAAAACACAAUUGAAAAAAAUCCACGGAAAAAAAAUUUAGUUAUUAUAUUAUAAUUACAAUAAUUACAACGAAUAAAUAAUUAAAAUAUCGGUUUUGGUGAAAAAGGGAAUACGUCAAAUUUUACAAUUUUGCUGGAGCUAAAAAAAACUUGAUAACU
Non-coding RNA from Cinara cedri, 219 nucleotides. The record is from the annotation of a GenBank genome assembly. NCBI's taxonomy places the organism in Eukaryota, Metazoa, Arthropoda, Insecta, Hemiptera, Aphididae.